AUGCUCUAUGAGAACGAGCACUAAAAGCUGAAGCCACGCCUCGGACCCCUCUUACAACAACGACCGAUGCGUGGCUCCCUUCAGGGGGUGGAAUAUGAUGAGAGAAAUAAUGGCGACAAGACUGGGGCUGACGACACCUGUCCCAGAUGACGCAUCACUCCUCAGCACCUAGUCAAACGGACUGAAACGCCGACCAAGGCACAUUAAAUAUUCUGUCCAGGCUCGAUCUCGCACGCCACGCCAACGCCAGUGUCAGACGCUACCUGCCCCCGCAAGGGGGCACAUCAAGCACAGUAAGCUUCCCUAUAAAUACCCUCGCAUACUAAAGGAGAAGACGGGACAAACUCACACACCACACUUGUAUGGAGGCAUCUCUUCCUCCAAAACCCUCUCCACAUCGCUAACUUGGCCGUCGGACGGGUCGGGUCGAGUGCCUCGGCCCGACCUUAGUGCAGGUGCCCGAGGCCACAACUCUUCCAGGCGCUGCGGCGGAGCUCCCUGCCGACCCGACCUCCCAAGCCAAUGUCCCAACCCGAACCACCGUGCUCGGUUGCCGGAAGACCCCGAGGGACGCCGGACGAGACCCCGACAUCCGGACCCCCGAACCCUAGCCAAGCAGGGAGCUAACAGCGAUGCCCCCGCCGCAAUAGGUACAAGUAGAACUGGUCAUUAGGUAGAACAGCUGAUGCAUGGGAGUGUUACUCAUGGAAUCGCCUGAAAUAAACAAUUUGCUCAGUAAGCAUACGUUGUCACUAAAACGUAAGCGAGUCGACUCACUAAACCCGGUUGACUCAAGCGAGUCGACUAGCUAAACUCGAUCGGCUCAAACGAGUCAGCUUAAGUUUGGCCGAGUCUACUCAAUAAGGCUAAACUAUAUAACGAGGAAAUAAGAGGUUAAGUGAAGAGGUCGCGAUUCGUGCAGACGAACCCUAGCCAAGCCUUCGCCGCCCGUUGGUUCCGGCGAGACCCCUCAAGCCGGUCUUCGCCCGCUACUGCCAUCGAGAUCUCUCAAGAGAGGCUUUGACAUCCAGCGGCCUUUCUCAGCUAUCGUCUUCUAUAUUCUUUCUGAUGCUGCAAUAGGAUUGCUGAGGAUUUGAGUUCCUUGGUCACUAGAGCCAUGGAGAAAAGACUCCUAGAAAUCCAAUAGUUCUCUUGAUGAUGGUUGACAUGCAGCAGUGCCAUGUGCUUAGCAGCCAAGUAGGAGAUGUGGAAUGCUACUUGUAUGGUUUUCAAUGUGAACUUCCCUUGUCUUAGUGAUUUGUGGAUCAUAUUUGAGUGGCUAAUAAUGGAUUUUCCUUCUUGACUGUCCAAUAAAUAAUCAAUAGCAAACACCUUCUCAAUUAUAUACUUAUAAGAUUUUGAUAUAUGAAUGUAUACAUAUUUUGUUAUUA
Musa acuminata AAA Group (dessert banana) is the source of this 1391-nucleotide long non-coding RNA. RefSeq lists it as uncharacterized. NCBI's taxonomy places the organism in Eukaryota, Viridiplantae, Streptophyta, Magnoliopsida, Zingiberales, Musaceae. The transcript is spliced from 2 exons. The record is from RefSeq and is a predicted model, not a curated record.